Molecule: non-coding RNA, 1003 nt
Filed under: Caenorhabditis japonica
Lineage: Eukaryota; Metazoa; Nematoda; Chromadorea; Rhabditida; Rhabditidae
Description: Eukaryotic small subunit ribosomal RNA
Rfam family: Eukaryotic small subunit ribosomal RNA
Source: Rfam by way of RNAcentral
AGCCCAUGCAUGCUUUGAUUCAUUAAAUGAAAUUGCGUACGGCUCAUUAGAGCAGAUAUCACCUUUCUCGGAAUCCUGAAAAGGAUAACUGCGGAAAUUCUGGAGCUAAUACAUGCGACUAUACUCCAACGCAAGGCGGGGUGCAAUUAUUAGAACAGACCAAACGUUUUCGGACGUUGUUUGUUGACUCUGAAUACCGUCGUUUACUGUCAGUUUCGACUGACUCUAUCCGAGAAGGGUGUCUGCCCUUUCAACUAGAUGGUAAUCUAUUGGACUACCAUGGUUGUUACGGGUAACGGAGAAUUAGGGUUCGACUCCGGAGAGGGAGCCUUAGAAACGGCUACCACGUCCAAGGAAGGCAGCAGGCGCGAAACUUAUCCACUGUUGAGUAUGAGAUAGUGACUAAAAAUAUAAAGACUCAUCCUUUUGGAUGAGUUAUUUCAAUGAGUUGAAUAUAAAUUAUUCUUCGAGUAGCAAGGAGAGGGCAAGUCUGGUGCCAGCAGCCGCGGUAAUUCCAGCUCUCCUAGUGUAUCUCGUUAUUGCUGCGGUUAAAAAGCUCGUAGUUGGAUCUAGGUUACGUGCCGCAGUUCGCAAUUUGCGUUAACUGUGGUCGUGACUUCUAAUUUGCUGGUUUGAGGUUGGGUUCGCCCUUCAACUGCCAGCAGGUUUACCUUGAAUAAAUCAGAGUGCUCAAUACAGGCGCUUGCUUGAAUAGCUCAUCAUGGAAUAAUGAAACAGGACUUCGGUUCUUUUUGUUGGUUCUAGAAUUGAUCUAAUGGUUAAGAGGGACAAACCGGGGGCAUUCGUAUCAUUACGCGAGAGGUGAAAUUCGUGGACCGUAGUGAGACGCCCAAUAGCGAAAGCAUUUGCCAAGAAUGUCUUCAUUAAUCAAGAACGAAAGUCAGAGGUUCGAAGGCGAUUAGAUACCGCCCUAGUUCUGACCGUAAACGAUGCCAUCUCGCGAUUCGGAGGGUUCAUGCCCUACCGAGGAGCUACCCGGAAA